AUGUGGUCCAGGGAGUGGGGUUUCGCAAGGAACAAGUCAUGGAUGUCGCUGGGUCUGCUGGUGGCGGCAAUGGUGAAUUGCGCCGAAAACACUGGCGUGAAUAACCUCUACAUCAUCUCCGUGAGGGGCAUCAAGGGUCACCUCAACCAUUUCCCUUCCAUCUGCAUUGCCGACAUGGUCAUGGCCACCGUCAAGAAGGGGAAGUACGAUCUGCGUAAGAAGAUUGUUCCCGCCAUCAUCAUCCGCCAGCGCAAGCUGUGCCACUAAAAGGAUGGUGUCUUCAUGUACUUUGAAGGUAAUUGCCAGAUUGCCUCCCUCCUCUUCGAUCCUUCACCCGAUCUCUUUGCAACUUUGAUGGUAGUACACGAUGAAUCUUGA
Molecule: ribosomal RNA, 378 nt
Filed under: Triticum aestivum (bread wheat)
Lineage: Eukaryota; Viridiplantae; Streptophyta; Magnoliopsida; Poales; Poaceae
Description: partial small subunit ribosomal RNA
Source: RNAcentral